This 3008-nucleotide long non-coding RNA is filed under the name Homo sapiens (human). Its description in RNAcentral is "HSALNT0027635". Lineage: Eukaryota; Metazoa; Chordata; Mammalia; Primates; Hominidae. The record is from RNAcentral.
CACACUUGCUGUGUGCCUUUUGUAAGCGACUUGCCCGUCCACUAAAAUGAGGGUGAGAAUGCCCACUUUGCUGGGCUUGCCCUGAGGAACGAUGGCUGGCAUGGCUGCAUGUAAGGUGCUCAACCUGGUGCCCAGCUCACCCUCGCCUCUCCAGAUGGGGUGCUUAUGCUUUUUACUUUCUCGCCCCAGUUAUGGACAGCACUCCUAGGGAGCUGUGGAAAAGAAGUUUCUGCUUUAGCAGGAAUUCAGCUAUUAUCUUCUCUCUGGAGAAAGCCGUCUGCUUUUGAUCUGAGAUGGACAAACGAGGCUAUUCUGAGAAGGACUAAUUACAGUACACAUCCGGGAUUCUUUUCCCUGCUGCAUCUGCCUGCUUAUCAGAGGCUCCUGGGAUUCUGAGAGUGAUCUUCUACAGGAAGCCGUUGAGAAGGGCAUUGGGUCUUUUGUUACCAGGCACAAUGAAGGAAUGGAAACUAGGGCUCAGAGGUUUCACUUGCCAGAAGUCACUCGGUCCCUGGGAAGGAUGCAAACCAGCUCACCUGGCUCUCCAGCACAUGCACCCCAGACCACCCCCAAGGAUGUGACCCAUUCCUUCUGUGGAGUCUGAUCUUCCAAACUUUAGACAACAGCUCCUUCUGCAAGCUUUCGAGCCUGCAAGCUAAGGACAUGAAUGAACUGAGUCAUCCCCACAGAGCUUCAUUAAUUUUAAGGCAAUUUAAGAUUUCUGAGUCAUAGGUUUCAGUCAUUUAGAUUUUCCCAGCUGGUACUGUACUUGCCCACACACACUUUUCUUUAAAGAUUGCAUCUGUCUAGAUGUGUGGUUCUGCCCACCCUUCCUCAGUUUCUGAGAAGAAACUCGCCCUCGUGGAGUGCUACAUGCAGGGCUAAGCCAUUUCCAUUUGCCACGUGCAUUAGAGUCUUUGCCUGAGGGAUUAAUGGGAUUAGCAGUCUGCAGCUUGAUCUAGACUCUAUCCACCAGAGACAUGCACAAUUCCAAAUUCUAUAUCCAACACAAUAUUUUACCCAGUCUCCCAAGAAAAUUCAGUUAUGCCAUAUGGUGACUCCACUCACUGAAUAAUAUUUAGCAACUUGAUGAACAAGGACUGAAUCAUAUCUUAACCAUCUUGGCCAAAUAUUGUUUUAUAUAGCAACAGUAUUAGUAAUAUAUAUGUUUUAUUUUUUACACUAGUACUUCCUGCUACGCCCACUGAAAAUUAAGAGCUAGACCUCACUGGAAGUAGACUACACAAUAAAAGAGUUCUCGCUCAUUAGCAACCUCCAAUUCAAUAUUGCAUUGUAUGUAUGAUACAUUCAGAAUGUCUGCUUUUUCCUUCCUCCAGAGCAGCUGCUGGGAUUGAGCAAUAGUCUCCCAGGGUAACGCAGCAGGGAAUCCUGGGGCAUUUCCCAGACACUGAAAACAAAGGAUAUGUAUCCAUGGGGAGGAUAGGGCUUCAGCUCUCUCCCUCCCACUAAGAAGUUCUCCAUAUCCUCAGUAUGUGGGGGAGAAAAUUAGCAAGCCUCUGAGUGAGGAGCCCCUGUGACCCAGGGAUUUUAAGAAAGUCGUUUUCCUCCCUGAGCCUCAAUUCAACUGUUCAAGAGGGAUAAUCAUGAAAACCCUUUAUAAACUGUAAUACAAUAUGCAAAUGCUAGGUUGGUCAUUUACAAUGUGCAGAUUCUGUUAAAAUUGUACAUACAUGCAACCAUGAGGAAGAUGCAAUCUGUAUCUUCAACCAUCUUACCAGUGGAAAAUAGAAACUUGUGGAGAUAACAGAGAUAAUUUCAACAAAAUACAACUUGGCUAAGAUAGAGUUAUGAAAAGUAGAGAGACUCUUAGGUCAACAUGAAAGUUCCUGAAGUUGCCAGUACCCAAGAGGAAUCUUGAAUGAUCAGCAAGAUUUAUAGCGGCUAUAAGAAUAUUUAUUCCCAGCAGCCAGGGGCAUAAGCAUCAGUUACUAGUGAGUAUAAUGCAUGUCCCAAAGUGGCAGGAAAUAAGGCCAUAUUUAUAGCAAUUAAGAAAUAUUAGCUAUUAUUACUGUAGCAUCAGGGCUUUCUGAAAAUCAAAAAAAAGGGAUUUCUGGGAGAGUCUCAUGCUAAGGCUUCAGCAACUCUUCUCACCCCACCCUGUGGGGCCACUAUUGUGCCCAUCUUCUGGGAAACUGUUGUAAAAUGCUCCCUUGAUUUAUUACUGAGUAUAAAACUAACCCAAUACUUACUGAUGUAAAAUAACCCACUUCUUUAUAUCAUGGUUUUGUGCAGCAGGAACUGGGGCAGAUGGCACAACUGGGGUCACUUAGUGAUGUUCUGUUGGUUGCUGCUGCUGCUGCUGCUAGAAGUAUCGAGAUGGUUUUAUUACCAUGCCUGGAGUCUUGUCAGUUGGUUGGAAGCCUGGGCUCUACCAGGCCCAUCUCCUUCUUCACAUAUUCUUGGGGCCUUUCCUGCUGAUUUCUCCGGCCAGGUAGCUGGUUGGAUUUAUUUCCUGCCACCUCGAAGCUUCAAGAGACUAUGGUAGAAGUUUCUAGGUCUCUCCAAGGCAAAGCCUGGGACUGGCCAUAUGUCAUAUCUGCCAUUUCCUAUGGGUCCAAGCAGUCUCAGGUCAGUGCAGAUUCAAGUGGAAGGAAAUAGACUCCACUUUUUAAUGGGAGAAGUGUCAAGUAUGUAUGGCUGUCUUUACUCUGGCACAUUUCUCUCUCCACUUAUGGUCACGCUGUGUGUGUAAGAAAGUCUUGUUGAUUCCUGUGAUAGGAAACAAAAGAAAAAAUCUCCAGUAAAAAAAAAUAGUGCAGCAUAAAAGAGGCUUCUGUCCUUCUUCUGUGAGUUCCUAUAUGACCCACUGUCCUGUGUCCAGCACCUAGCACAGUGCUUGGCAUACAGAAGGUGAUCAAUCCACAGAACUUAGCUGACAGGAUUUUGCUACUAUAUUGUUAUGUGAGUGAAUUUCUCACAGUGAACCUUCCAGGAAAGGUGCCAGGGGAAUCUUAUUGCAAAACUAGCAGUUUAUUGGGUUGACAAAG